CUUUUAUGAAAAUUAUCAUUUGAUAGGGGACUCAGCUUAUCCCUGUAAAUCUUGGCUUAUGUGUCCAUAUCGUGAUAAUGGACGAUUGAGCGCAGAGGAGAAGCAUUUUAAUUUUCUUCUCUCAAAAACCAGAGUUAGAAUUGAGAACACAUUUGCUUUGCUUAAAGGACGAUGGAGAAUAUUAAAGGAUAUCGAUACAUAUUCGAUUGAAAGAGCAGUAGGAAUAAUUAUAACAUGCUGCGUGCUUCAUAAUUAUUGUAUACUGAAAGGAGAUCAUUUUGAAGUGGAGGAAAAUGUUAAUUUUACAAGGAGGAUAUAUGAGGGAGAAGAUGAUUCUGGAGGAAUUAAUAAACGAAGGGAAAUUACCAAUUUACUUAAAAAAAAUAGAUAUGUAGUUUCAAUAUAAAAACAAAAUUAUAAA
Long non-coding RNA from Coccinella septempunctata (seven-spotted ladybird), 421 nucleotides. RefSeq lists it as uncharacterized. NCBI's taxonomy places the organism in Eukaryota, Metazoa, Arthropoda, Insecta, Coleoptera, Coccinellidae. The record is from RefSeq and is a predicted model, not a curated record. The transcript is spliced from 2 exons.